UACUUUGCACUUAUACAGCUGAAAUAUUUACUUACCUGAUCCUCUUUUGGUCACAACCUUCAAGCUCUGAGUUAGAGUAGCAUACAAGAGAAUCAAAUUUGGAAUGGGAGCUUUCAUUUUCUGUCUUUCCACAGCUGCUCCC
This is a long non-coding RNA of Oxyura jamaicensis (ruddy duck), 142 nucleotides long. RefSeq lists it as uncharacterized. Lineage: Eukaryota; Metazoa; Chordata; Aves; Anseriformes; Anatidae. The transcript is spliced from 3 exons. The record is from RefSeq and is a predicted model, not a curated record.